CAGCUCAUGAUUUUUGUUUUUCUGUCUGUCGCCACAGUUGCCAAGUAAAGAUCCAGAGAUCCAGUCCUGACUCCUGCGUCUCCUUUCCAACUGCUUUUCUCCCUUUUCCCUAUAUGUGUGUGCGAGCUGCUUGUAAUGAUGUCAUGCCUGUAAAAAAGGAGACUGGACUGGAGAAGAAGAAAAGUGGCACAUUGUUGGCUUUGCUAGCAAUGCUCAUUGGCUUGUGGAUCACAAGGCAGACAUGUAGUGCUGUAAUUGUGCCAACCUGAACACUGAUGGUACCUGCUGUAGAAUGAGUCAUGUGGACAAGAAAACGUACACUCCUCGACACUUCACCUUGCGCAGCCAAAAUGGACAAUCGGAGGUAUUUAAGGAGGCCCCAGCAGCCAAGCAAGUGAACAGACAGUUUGAAGUGAUCAGGCUCUGUUUCUCAUGCACAGUAUGUAUUGCCCACAUUGAAUGUCUCCUAACAUGAUUUUUACAUUUGUUUAAUUUGCAAGAAAUGGUUACAACGUUUAAUGGCCAUGAUUUAAGUCCAAAUAUUGUUGAUUGUCUUCAUAAGCUGCUCCUGUGCUUCACAAUUGUGGAAGAGUACAGCUCCCAAUACACAUUCAUUGCAUCGAGCAAAAGGCCUCAAAAUUACUCUUAUUGCACAUAACAGGCAAUAAGUAGAUUCUGCUAGUAUAUGUUACAAAAGCCCACGACAUCAUGUCU
This is a long non-coding RNA of Solea solea (common sole), 714 nucleotides long. RefSeq lists it as uncharacterized. Lineage: Eukaryota; Metazoa; Chordata; Actinopteri; Pleuronectiformes; Soleidae. The transcript is spliced from 4 exons. The record is from RefSeq and is a predicted model, not a curated record.